This 342-nucleotide ribosomal RNA is filed under the name uncultured bacterium. RNAcentral describes it as "bacterial SSU rRNA". It matches the Rfam family "Bacterial small subunit ribosomal RNA", at positions 29 to 402 of the family's 1533-position model. The record is from RNAcentral.
AACGAACGCUGGCGGCAGGCCUAACACAUGCAAGUCGAACGCUGUAGCAAUACAGAGUGGCAGACGGGUGAGUAACACGUGGGAACCUACCUAUUGGUACGGAAUAGCUCAGGGAAACUUGAGGUAAUACCGUAUACGCCCUUACGGGAAGAUUAUCGCCGAUAGAUGGGCCCGCGUCUGAUUAGCUAGUUGGUGAGGUAAUGGCUCACCAAGGCGACGAUCAGUAGCUGGUUUGAGAGAAUGACCAGCCACACUGGGACUGAGACACGGCCCAGACUCUACGGGAGGCAGCAGUGGGGAAUCUUGGACAAUGGGCGCAAGCCUGAUCCAGCCAUGCCGCGU